This 492-nucleotide ribosomal RNA is filed under the name uncultured bacterium. RNAcentral's name for it is "partial 16S ribosomal RNA". It matches the Rfam family "Bacterial small subunit ribosomal RNA", at positions 29 to 507 of the family's 1533-position model. The record is from RNAcentral.
AGUGAACGCUGGCGGUAGGCCUAACACAUGCAAGUCGAACGGCAGCACAGUAAGAGCUUGCUCUUACGGGUGGCGAGUGGCGGACGGGUGAGGAAUACAUCGGAAUCUACUUUUUCGUGGGGGUUAACGUAGGGAAACUUACGCUAAUACCGCAUACGACCUACGGGUGAAAGCAGGGGAUCUUCGGACCUUGCGCGAUUGAAUGAGCCGAUGUCGGAUUAGCUAGUUGGCGGGGUAAAGGCCCGCCAAGGCGCCGAUCCGUAGCAGGUCUGAGAGGAUGAUCAGCCACACUGGAACGGAGACACGGUCCAGACUCCUACGGGAGGCAGCAGUGGGGAAUAUUGGACAAUGGGCGCAAGCCUGAUCCAACUAUACCGCGUGGGUGAAGAAGGCCUGCGGGUUUUAAAGCCCUUUUGUUGGGAAAGAAAAGCAGCAGGUUAAUACCCCGCUGUUCUGACGGUACCCAAAGAAUAAGCACCGGCUAACUUCGUG